Molecule: unclassified non-coding RNA, 710 nt
Filed under: Hevea brasiliensis (rubber tree)
Lineage: Eukaryota; Viridiplantae; Streptophyta; Magnoliopsida; Malpighiales; Euphorbiaceae
Source: RNAcentral
AAGUGGUGUUGAUCGAUUCAAGCGACAAUUUGCACAUCUUGAGGAGCAUGCUGGUAAAGGUGAACAUAGUGCUCCGAUUCUGAGGCAGCAUGCUUCCUUGCCUAGAGAGCGAGUACCUGCACCAAAAGAUGACACCUCUUCCCAAAAUAAUGAUUGUGAAAAGAGAACUGUUUCAACAACUCUACAGAGUCCACCAACGCAAUCUGAGGGAUCAGAGAACUACAGUGCUCGUAGCUUGCUGAAGAGUGCUAGCAUCAGUGGUUCCAAGUGUGUGGAAGUAAAAAGAAAAAACGCAGAGGAAGAGCCAAUCGAAGAACAAAAUGAAGAAGUUGAUGGUUUGUCUCAAGAAGUUGCUUCUCUUCAUGUUUAAUUCUCUGCAGAAAUCAACAUUUUGAAGUUUCAGUCCUUGAUUUCAGCUAGAAGCUAACUGUAGGUUAUCAGUUCCUAUUGUGUUAUAAAAUAUUACUUGCUAUAUAUAGUAGGAAAACACUCCAGCUAUUCAAAUUUUCUCAUUAGAUUACAAGGUUUGAAAUUUGUAACGAUUUCAUAAACACUACUUCCUCUACCCUAACUAACAGAGUCUUUCUUAAAUAUCGUUCAUUGUAUGCCCGUGUACUUUACCUGCGUGUUGCGUGGAUAAUAUUGAAGAGAACAACAGUAUACAUUAUGCUCGAAUAUGUCUUAUUUAUUUGAAAAUUUUUAAUUUUAUU